Molecule: long non-coding RNA, 2137 nt
Organism: Megalobrama amblycephala (Wuchang bream)
Lineage: Eukaryota; Metazoa; Chordata; Actinopteri; Cypriniformes; Xenocyprididae
Exons: 3
Source: RefSeq, a predicted model, not a curated record
CACUGCCUCACAGCAGCUCUUCUCUUGCGCGCGCAGCAGCAGAGAGCGUCCGUUAUUUUCUGAGGCUGAGAAAACGUAAAUGCCUGACGUUGCGAGCCGUUCGUUCCCGCUCCUGUUCCAUUCAAAUCUUGCGCGCGCUGACAGGGUCCGGUAUUUUCAUCAUAGAGACAUUUACACAUAGGAUUUACAUCACAAGAAGGUUACGUGAAGAGUGGGUCCAGAGGCUUCAAUUCCGGAACCAACACGUGAUCGAGACCAUGAGAGAGGAACAAAUAAGAAGAGCUCAGAGGAUUCAAGAGAUUUUAAGAUUUUAGACGUCAGCAUGAAAACUAAAAGCACUUCUCUAAAGCAUUUUACAUUCAUUAUACAAAAGCUGUCACUGGAACGGGACCCUUUAAAAAGGUUCUAAUAUUUACACUUUUGUUAUAUACUUUUGAUGUACUAAUAAUAUGCACUCUUUUGGUACAAAGAUAUACCUUUUGAAAGGGUACCACCCCAGUGACAGCUUUUACCUUUAAUCUGAGAUUUAUAUCUAUAAAAGUCAGUCUAUUUCUUUAACUUAACUAAAUAGUUUUCUGAUGUAGUGUUUGAGUCAGAAAGAUGCUGUUGCAGACAUGUAGGCUUAAAACUUGCGUGAAGUUGGCCCCCCACCCAACGCAAAAUGUCUGCAAAAUAGUCUCAAUCGUUUGUGCUGGUUUGUGCCGUAAAAAUUUUCGUUUCUGCUGCUUCAGUUUUUUAGGUAUUAAAAUAAUAUUUAUAGGUCAUUCUGAGGUCACCCAGCCCCCCACAUGUUCUAAAUUCACCGAAAAUAGUCUCAAAUGUUUGUGCUGGUUUGUGCCGGUAAAAGUUUCGUUUGUGCCGCUUUCGAUUUUAAAAUAUUAGACUUUGAAUUAUAGGCGAUGACGUCACUCAGCCCCCCCACAUGCUCCAAAUUCGCCCAAAAUAGUCUCGUUUGUUUGUGCUCCGUUUGUGCUGGUGAAAUUUCCGUUUGUGCUGCUUGUGCUGGUUUUUAAAAUAUGAAAAUAACUUUUAUAGGUCAUUCUGAGGUCACCCAGCCCCCCACAUGUUCCAAAUUCACCAAAAAUAGUCUCAAACGUUUGUUUCGUUUGUGCUGCUUUCGAUUUUAAAAUAUUAGACUUUGAAUUAUAGGCGAUGACGUCACUCAGCCCCCCACAUGCUCCAAAUUCACCCAAAAUAGUCUCGUUUGUUUGUGCUCCGUUUGUGCUGGUGAAAUUUCCAUUUGUGCUGCUUUGGUUUUUAAAAUAUUAAAAGAAUUGGGUAUUCAUUCUCAGGUCCCUCAGCCCCCCACAUGCUCCAAAUUUGCUCAAAAUAGUCUCAAACGUUUGUGCUUCAUUUGUGCUGGUAAAAGUUUCGUUUGUGCUGCUUCGUUUUUUUAGAUAUGUCUAUUAAAAUAAUAUUUAUAAAAUCUCAGGUCAAUCAGCCCCCCACAUGCUCCAAAUUCACCACAAACAGUCGCAAUCGUUUGUGCCGAUAAACGUUUCAUUUGUGCUGCCUCGCUUUAUAAAUAUUAGACAUUGAUUGCAUUGAAAUGAAUGACACUGAACGGCUGCAAAUGCAAAUCGCAUAAGAGCAUAUUAUAGUGACUAUUAGGCUAUAUACCAAAGCAUAGACAUUUAACAGAAAUAGUAGGAGCAAUGUGAUUUCAAAUUAAAAGUAAAAUAAAAUUAAACGAAUGCCUAUAUUUGUUUUUUCGAUUUGGUUUAGUUAGACAAUUAAAUAAGUCGUUUUUUCUUGACGUAGGCUAAUUAAAUGAAGGAAUUACACGGACCGAUGCAGCUUUUUUGAUGCAACAACUUUCCGUUUCUGACACGCGCUUGUCACUGAAAAGGAGGAAAGCAAACAGAGACUUAAUUUGAAAACUUUUAUCGGCACAAACGAUUGCGACCGUUUGUGGUGAAUUUGGAGCAUGUGAGGGGCUGAUUGACCUGAGAUUUUAUAAAUAUUCUUUUAAUAGAUAUAUCUAAAAAACAAAGCAGCACAAACGGAGCACAAACGAUUGAGACUAUUUUGCAGACGUUUUGCGUUGGGUGGGGGGCCAACUUCACGCAGGUACCAUACCACUAAAUGUGAUCUUUCCUUCCAGCAUCUGUCUUUCAUAUAAGGCUCAUAGGGUUAC